Molecule: ribosomal RNA, 250 nt
Filed under: uncultured bacterium
Lineage: Bacteria
Description: partial 16S ribosomal RNA
Rfam family: Bacterial small subunit ribosomal RNA
Source: RNAcentral
GACGUAGGGUGCAAGCGUUUGUCCGGAUUUAUUGGGCGUAAAGAGCGUGUAGGCGGCCAGACAGGUCAGCUGUGAAAACUCGAGGCUCAACCUCGAGACGUCGGUUGAAACCGUCUGGCUAGAGUCCGGAAGAGGAGAGUGGAAUUCCCGGUGUAGCGGUGAAAUGCGCAGAUAUCGGGAAGAACACCCGUGGCGAAGGCGGCAUCCUGGACCAACACUGACGCUGAGUGAGCGAAAGCGUGGGGAGCAA